CUUAGGCGUGUGACUGCGUACCUUUUGUAUAAUGGGUCAGCGACUUAUAUUCUGUAGCAAGGUUAACCGAAUAGGGGAGCCGAAGGGAAACCGAGUCUUAACUGGGCGUUAAGUUGCAGGGUAUAGACCCGAAACCCGGUGAUCUAGCCAUGGGCAGGUUGAAGGUUGGGUAACACUAACUGGAGGACCGAACCGACUAAUGUUGAAAAAUUAGCGGAUGACUUGUGGCUGGGGGUGAAAGGCCAAUCAAACCGGGAGAUAGCUGGUUCUCCCCGAAAGCUAUUUAGGUAGCGCCUCGUGAAUUCAUCUCCGGGGGUAGAGCACUGUUUCGGCAAGGGGGUCAUCCCGACUUACCAACCCGAUGCAAACUGCGAAUACCGGAGAAUGUUAUCACGGGAGACACACGGCGGGUGCUAACGUCCGUCGUGAAGAGGGAAACAACCCAGACCGCCAGCUAAGGUCCCAAAGUCAUGGUUAAGUGGGAAACGAUGUGGGAAGGCCCAGACAGCCAGGAUGUUGGCUUAGAAGCAGCCAUCAUUUAAAGAAAGCGUAAUAGCUCACUGGUCGAGUCGGCCUGCGCGGAAGAUGUAACGGGGCUAAACCAUGCACCGAAGCUGCGGCAGCGACGCUGAUGCGUUGUUGGGUAGGGGAGCGUUCUGUAAGCCUGUGAAGGUGUGCUGUGAGGCAUGCUGGAGGUAUCAGAAGUGCGAAUGCUGACAUAAGUAACGAUAAAGCGGGUGAAAAGCCCGCUCGCCGGAAGACCAAGGGUUCCUGUCCAACGUUAAUCGGGGCAGGGUGAGUCGACCCCUAAGGCGAGGCCGAAAGGCGUAGUCGAUGGGAAACAGGUUAAUAUUCCUGUACUUGGUGUUACUGCGAAGGGGGGACGGAGAAGGCUAUGUUGGCCGGGCGACGGUUGUCCCGGUUUAAGCGUGUAGGCUGGUUUUCCAGGCAAAUCCGGAAAAUCAAGGCUGAGGCGUGAUGACGAGGCACUACGGUGCUGAAGCAACAAAUGCCCUGCUUCCAGGAAAAGCCUCUAAGCAUCAGGUAACAUCAAAUCGUACCCCAAACCGACACAGGUGGUCAGGUAGAGAAUACCAAGGCGCUUGAGAGAACUCGGGUGAAGGAACUAGGCAAAAUGGUGCCGUAACUUCGGGAGAAGG
RNAcentral lists this ribosomal RNA (1160 nucleotides) under Escherichia coli. RNAcentral describes it as "partial 23S ribosomal RNA". It matches the Rfam family "Bacterial large subunit ribosomal RNA", at positions 584 to 1746 of the family's 2925-position model. The record is from RNAcentral. Lineage: Bacteria; Pseudomonadati; Pseudomonadota; Gammaproteobacteria; Enterobacterales; Enterobacteriaceae.